CAGUCCACGCGAGUGACAAGCACACAAGUGGACUCCGCCUCUGCGCCGCCUCUGCUCCUUCUUGUGUGUGCUUCUCUUCCUUUAUUCGGAGGUGAGGAGAGGCCUCCCUCUCCCCCUCUCUCUCUCUUAGUGUGCCCCUCCGCGGCAACCUCUGAGCUAUCCAGCUCCGCUUUCUGAGAGGAGAGCAAGACUUGGUGAAAGGGGGAAACCCACACGCACACGCAACGUGCUGGUGAGCGCCUGUGCUUCUCAUCCCAGCCUCCUUUGGGCAACUCAGCUCCUGGUCUUUUCGCGGUGCACAUGUCUACAACAGCCUACAAGGAGGCGGUAGAGGCACCAGCCACGGCGGCGCGUCGCCGAAAAGCGGGUCGUGUGAACUACCUGAUCGAGAACGCCACCCCUGCGAUGCUGUGUCUCGUGCGGGCUGCCGAGCCGAAGCCGUACACGGCACUCUCCCCCGAAGCCCUCUAUGAGGCAGUGCAGCCGCACGACCACACGCUCCGCCCAUCGCCGUUCAUUGCCCAUCAAGCGCUCAUGGACUUCUACAAGGUGUGCGAUGGCUACUAUGGCGUGGACCGGGAGGAGGUGGAUGUGCAGCAGCUCACCUCCUUCGAGCACAAAAAGCCACACGGUGGGGCAUCAAGUGGGAACAACAGCGGCAGCAACAGCGGAGCCACUCUGUCGUCGUUGCUGUCUGGGUCGGCGUCUGCCACUCCAUCGUCGUCACUGUCUGCUGCCGCCGGCGCCCCUCCGCUUCCGCCGCUGCCGUCCCCCGACGACCCGAACCUGGCUGAGAAGCUCAAUGACUAUCGCAUCGCACAGCUGCGCCGCAACGCCCAGCACGUGGAUAAUACCGUCUACCACGCGCACAACAGCAGCAACGGUUCCAUCACGAGCAACGUCGCGAACGCGGGCAUCAGUGGGGUGUGCCACUUCUACCGCACACCUGAGGGCUGCCAAAGAGGCGCGGCAUGCCCUUUCACUCACCUGGACAAGCACGGACAGCCGGUCAACCGCGUCCCAAAGUCGUGAGCGCGCGAGAUGACGCGGGCGAUUCCAAGUAUCCUCGGUGCCACGAUAAGCGGCGGUUGCUAUACUGUUUAUUCACACAACUGACAACGAUGGCGGAGGUGUAGUCUGCUGAGAAACGCCCGUUGUGCGCGCGCGUGGGCAGGCGUGUCUGUGUACUCCUCGUAGUGCCUCGACAUCGUCUCGCCCACCCACGCCGGUAUCUCGACUAGGGUCACUGUGUAUUGCGACCGUAUCAGCGGCAUCCAUACGAGUACCGACGGGGGGACGCAGUGCCACAUCACUUUAGAGUGAGCAGCAUAUG
RNAcentral lists this unclassified non-coding RNA (1333 nucleotides) under Leishmania donovani. RNAcentral describes it as "gene:LdHU3.10.1020(CDS-product:hypothetical_prote in_conserved)". Lineage: Eukaryota; Euglenozoa; Kinetoplastea; Trypanosomatida; Trypanosomatidae. The record is from RNAcentral.